This 250-nucleotide unclassified non-coding RNA is filed under the name uncultured fungus. RNAcentral's name for it is "partial contains 5.8S ribosomal RNA, internal transcribed spacer 2, and large subunit ribosomal RNA". Lineage: Eukaryota; Fungi. The record is from RNAcentral.
AACGCACAUUGCGCCCGCCAGCAUUCUGGCGGGCAUGCCUGUUCGAGCGUCAUUUCAACCCUCAAGCUCAGCUUGGUGUUGGGGCCCUACGCCUGGCGUAGUCCCCUAAAGGUAGUGGCGGACCCUCUCGGAGCCUCCUUUGCGUAGUAACUAACGUCUCGCACUGGGAUCCGGAGGGACCUCUCGCCGUAAAACCCCCAAUUUUUCUUAGGUUGACCUCGGAUCAGGUAGGAAUACCCGCUGAACUUAA